GAUGAACGCUGGCGGCGUGCCUAACACAUGCAAGUCGGACGAAGUUACUUGUUUAGAUCUCUUCGGAGUGACGAACUUUUAACUUAGUGGCGGACGGGUGAGUAACACGUGAGCAACCUGCCUUUCAGAGGGGGAUAACGGCUGGAAACGGUCGCUAAUACCGCAUAACAUAUUGAAUCGGCAUCGGUUUAAUAUCAAAGGAGCAAUCCGCUGAAAGAUGGGCUCGCGUCUGAUUAGAUAGUUGGUGGGGUAACGGCCCACCAAGGCGACGAUCAGUAGCCGGACUGAGAGGUUGGCCGGCCACAUUGGGACUGAGACACGGCCCAG
This 327-nucleotide ribosomal RNA is filed under the name uncultured bacterium. Its description in RNAcentral is "bacterial SSU rRNA". It matches the Rfam family "Bacterial small subunit ribosomal RNA", at positions 28 to 334 of the family's 1533-position model. The record is from RNAcentral.